GCAGGGAAUUGGUUGGAAGUGGAACAGAAAACAAAAUCUUGGAAGCAAUCUCUGAUGAGAAUCAUCCAACACUGCACACAGAGCAUGAGCAUGAACACGUUCAUUCCCACAUGGACCCUUCUGUAAUGGUGUUCUUCACCUUCAAAGAUUUGAAGGUUGGGAAAACAAUGGAAGUUUAUUUUCCCAAGAGGGACCCUGCAACCUCUCCUAAGUUGUGGCCAAGAGAAGAAGCUGACUCUCUCCCUUUCUCCUUGAACCAACUCCCAAACCUCCUCAAAGUCUUCUCUUAUUCUCCAAGCUCUCCCCAAGCCAAAGCCAUGGAAGACACCCUGAGGGAAUGUGAGAGUAAACCCAUCAAAGGAGAGGAAAAGUUCUGUGCCACCUCUUUAGAAUCCAUGCUUGACUUCACUCAAACCAUUCUUGGCUUCACACAUGAUCUCCAAGUUUUCACCACCUCUCACCAGACCAAAUCCAGUGUCACUUUCCAAAACUACACUUUGGAAAACAUAGUAGAGAUCCCAGCUUCCAAGAUGGUGGCUUGCCAUACCAUGCCUUACCCUUACACUGUUUUUUACUGCCACAGCCAAGAAAGUGAGAAUAAGAU
This 604-nucleotide long non-coding RNA is filed under the name Phaseolus vulgaris (common bean). RNAcentral's name for it is "long non-coding RNA (PVUL_LNC000071)". The record is from RNAcentral. Lineage: Eukaryota; Viridiplantae; Streptophyta; Magnoliopsida; Fabales; Fabaceae.